AUUUCCAUUAGUAAGUUCUUAAAUGCAUUAUAAGAUAAGAACUUGGAUUCUAGGAUAAGAACUUGGAUUCUAGGUUAAUUAAAAGGAACAAAACUAUGCCAUCAUUUUGAAACAUAUGGAACUCUUGGUCAUUUUAGUUUUUUACCAAUUUGCUUACCCUUCAGGCACAAAAUUGUGUUACAAUGCCACGACUAGACAAUUGCAUUUGUUAUUUCUAGUAUUUCACAUGUUUGACUUGACAACCCCGCUAAAGUAUUUAAUUAGACAAGCAAGUUCUUGAUAGGAAGCUAAGUUUGUUGUUGAAUUUUCAGAGCUUCUUGGCAUGGAUGUUAGACCAUACACUUUCAGUUAUGUGGAACUAUAGACUGCUACAGGUAGCUUCAGUUAUGAAAAUAAGCUUGGAGAGGGAGGACAUGGACCAGUUUAUAAGGGAACACUCAUAGAUGGAAGAGUAAUUGCUACGAAGCAAUUAUCUGUAGCAUCCCACCAAGGGAAAAGCCGGUUUGUUGCAGAAAUUGCUACUAUAUCUGCUGUGUAGCACCAUAACCUAGUAAAACUUCAUGGAUGUUGUUGUGAUGAGAGACCACAACGAAUCCUUGUUUAUGAAUAUCUGCAAAACAAUAGUGUUGAUAAAGCAUUAUUUGCAGGAAAAGAAAGUUUGGACUGUGACUGGUCAACAUGCUAUGAUAUUUGUUUAGGAGUAGCAAGAGGUCUAGCUUAUCUUCAUGAGGAAUCAAGGCUUUGAGUUAUACAUAGAGACGUGAAAGCCAUUAAUGUUCUACUUGAUGAUAAUCUCAUCCCCAAAAUAUCAGAUUUUGGUUUGACCAAACUUUAUGAUGAUAAGAAGACUCACAUAAGCACUCGUGUUGCAGGCACAAUGUUGUUAGUGGGAGGCCAAACUUGAAUUCAAGCUUGGAAGAAGAGAAGAUGUAUCUUCUUGAUGAUUGGGCUUGGCACCUAUACAAGAACAAUCGCUAACUCGAGCUAGUGGACUCAAAAUUGUCAGAAUUCAGUGAGGAAGAAGUAAAAGGCCUGAUAGGAGUAGCACUUUUGUGUACACAGACCUUGCCCUCCUCGAGGCCAUCAAUAUCCCGCAUGAUUGUUAUGCUUUGUGGAGAUAUGGAAGUGAGUACAAUAAAUUCUAAGCCUGGAUACUUGACUGAAUGGGCAUUUAAUGAUGUGACCACCUUUGUUAGUGAUGAUAUAAAUGAAGAAUGUGAAGAUGCUAGCUAUUACAUCUCCUCAACAAGGUUACGAACAACGCAUAAAACUCCAGAAAUAAGUGCUAGUGAAGCCCUGCUCCAUUGAUCGGUUUUUCCUUUAGAUUCCAGUUUUAUUUCAUGUUAGGUCAACAAAAUUGUUAUUCAUAAUGUUAAAAAAUUUAAGACCAAUAAACUCAAGUAAAAAAGGUAUGGAAUAGAUCUUGAACUACUUACCUGUUAAACAAGCACAGGACUGAAUCUUCACUAGGAAAUGGAAAUA
Long non-coding RNA from Pistacia vera, 1482 nucleotides. RefSeq lists it as uncharacterized. The transcript has 5 exons. Lineage: Eukaryota; Viridiplantae; Streptophyta; Magnoliopsida; Sapindales; Anacardiaceae. The record is from RefSeq and is a predicted model, not a curated record.